UACCUUCUACCCACACACAGAUCAAAGAGCUUUUUUUCCUGUUUUUUCUUUAGAAAACGGACCUCAGAGAACCAGAACUAGUCCUUCUGUCGGGGCAGGGUGACCCCAUCAGUGACCUACAACCCCUCUAUGACCCUACAACUCCCUCCCUCCAUGGAGUUUGUAUUUGAUGCAGAAAGGCUGUGUGUGCUCCAUCCCUCCCUCUGACCUCUAACCUGGGAUUCCAUGGCAACACAACCCUGUGAUUCCAUGUCCCCUCGAUUCCAGGACCCUCCCUGGCCCCAUGACCCCUGACCUUCCAAGUGACCUCUCUGGACCUUGACCCCCGUGACUGUUCUUCCCAUCAUCCCCUGUGACUCUGGCCCUGGCUCCCCUUGGGGGUCUUACUGGUCUGGAACUCCCCAGGAAAAUGUGGGGGAGGCUCUGGCCCCUCUUCCUGGGCUUCCUCACAGCAACUGCAGUCCCUGGACCCUCACUGCGGAGACCAUCCAGAGAACUAGAUGCCACCCCGCGGAUGACCAUCCCCUAUGAAGGUUAGACCCCCCCCCCCCCCCUACUUUGAAAGGCAGCAGGAGCCAGGUCUGAGAGUAGAGAGGCAGCCCCAGGGCUGGGCUCACUGCUCCUACUCUCCCCAGAGCUCUCCAGGACCCGGCACUUCAAGGGUCAAGCCCAGAACUACUCAACACUGCUACUGGAGGAGUCCUCCGCAAGACUGCUGGUUGGAGCCCGAGGUGCCCUGUUCUCUCUCAAUGCCCGUGACAUAGGAGAUGGGGCUCACAAAGAGAUCCGCUGGGAGGCCUCCCCAGAGAUGCAAAGCAAAUGUCAUCAGAAAGGGAAAAACAACCAGGUAUGUGGUCUGCCCUGUCCCCAGCUCCUUUCCUUCUCCUCUUCAUUUGGGGACGUCAGGGUUGGUGGGGACACAGAUGGAGAGGUAUGGAUCAGCCAGUCAGUUGCAGCAACCACAACAAACAUGUGAGUGUAGCUGGAGUGGCAGGCCCCAGGUGCAGCACUUCUAAGCCAAACCUCUGGUGACCUCCAGGUUGGCCUGUAGUGGCAUCUUAAUCUCUUCUGGGCUCCCGAAUAGUAAUCAUGA
RNAcentral lists this long non-coding RNA (1093 nucleotides) under Ursus maritimus (polar bear). Its description in RNAcentral is "lncRNA (ENSUMAG00000022955.1)". Lineage: Eukaryota; Metazoa; Chordata; Mammalia; Carnivora; Ursidae. The record is from RNAcentral.